Molecule: ribosomal RNA, 253 nt
Filed under: uncultured bacterium
Lineage: Bacteria
Description: partial 16S ribosomal RNA
Rfam family: Bacterial small subunit ribosomal RNA
Source: RNAcentral
UACGAAGGGGGCUAGCGUUGUUCGGAGUUACUGGGCGUAAAGGGCGUGUAGGCGGUAUGUUAAGUCUGGCGUGAAAGCUCUCGGCUAAACCGGGAGAGGUCGUUGGAUACUGGCAAACUAGAGGAUGGUAGAGGCGUGUGGAAUUCCGGGUGUAGUGGUGAAAUGCGUAGAGAUCCGGAGGAACACCAGUGGCGAAGGCGACACGCUGGGCCAUACCUGACGCUAAAGCGCGACAGCAUGGGGAGCAAACGGG